CCUGUGUGAUGAUAAGCAAAUGCUGACUGAAUAUGAAGGUCUUAAUUAGCUCUAUCUGAUGU
Small nucleolar RNA from Capra hircus (goat), 62 nucleotides. NCBI's taxonomy places the organism in Eukaryota, Metazoa, Chordata, Mammalia, Artiodactyla, Bovidae. The record is from Ensembl.